Ictalurus punctatus (channel catfish) is the source of this 1286-nucleotide long non-coding RNA. Lineage: Eukaryota; Metazoa; Chordata; Actinopteri; Siluriformes; Ictaluridae. The record is from Ensembl.
AUCUCGUUUUGGCCAAAAUGUUCAUGUUUAAUGAUAAUAUGAGAAAUACAUCGUGCUCCUCAAGCAGGCGGUUGGAAACUUCCCAGCUGGAAAAAAAAAACCCCAGUAGAAACCAUCACAGAAAUUCUAAUGGUUUCCAGUACAAAUACCAUUACAAUCCAUCAGCUAACCAUUAAACCAUUACCAUUAGUGGUCCUUAAUGGUAUUUACUAGACCAAUAGAAGGCAACAAAUUACCAGUAGAGACUCACAGGGAGUAUUACAGUUUCCAUUACAACCAAUACAAUUCCCAUUAUAACCAUUAAAACCAUUACAAAUUCUAUCAGGGUUUCUGUAGUAUUUUCCAGCAGGGCAGGACGUACAGGGUUUCUAUAUCAGAGUUUUGCGCUCAUGAUCCUGUUCCUGUAGUGACUCAGAGUGGAAGAGAAGCGCAGGCUGUAAACAUAUGGUGUAUAUUUAGAGUUGUUGUAUUGAGGUGUGAGCAGCUCUUCAACUGCUUGUGUGUGUGUGUGUGUGAGUGUGUGUUGUGUCCAGUACAGUUGCACAACAAAAGCUUUUCCGGUACGGUUCCCUCCGACUGAAACGGUUCGACCCUGAUCAUAACGCUGACUCUGAUCAUAAUUUUCAGGAGAUUAUAAUGUCAUAUUAAAUGAGUGUGUGUGUGUGUGUGUGUAGCAGCGUUACUGUUGUUGAUUGUGGGCGUGGCCUGUCCAGAAACAGUAGUGAAAAUCUACAUCCUGCACUCUGCUGUACUAUUUAUACACAUAUAUUUGUGUUACAUGUCGCAUGCUCGGCUUCGUACUAGCUUUGUUCUCAGAUAAGAUUAGCAAAGCAAGCUAACUGUAUUAGCUACGUGCGCUCACUGCUACUUCCUUCCAAGCUAUUUCGUUCUUCAUAACGUCUCUGAACGCACGUAAUGCUUUUAUACACAUGUAAUGAGAGGUCGCUCACUCGACUGAUGUACGACCUCUCAUUACAUGUGUAUAAAAGUAUACGUGUGUUCGGAGACAUUAUGAAGACCAAAACAACUUGGAAGGAAGUAGCAGUGAGAGGAUAAGAUAAAACCACGGUUCGUCAAACUGUUAACAGGAACUAGUCACAGGUAGGACCUAGACCUAGUCACGGGUAGGACCUAGACCUAGUCACGGGUAGGACCUAGACCUAGUCACGGGUAGGACCUAGACCUAGUCACGGGUAGGACCUAGACCUAGUCACAGGUAGGACCUAGACCUAGUCACAGGUAGGACCUAGACCUAGUCACGGGUAGGACCUAGACAUAGUCACGGG